RNAcentral lists this microRNA precursor (63 nucleotides) under Stegodyphus mimosarum. Its description in RNAcentral is "mir-375 microRNA precursor family". It matches the Rfam family "mir-375 microRNA precursor family". Lineage: Eukaryota; Metazoa; Arthropoda; Arachnida; Araneae; Eresidae. The record is from Rfam by way of RNAcentral.
GCUGACUUGAGCUGUUCGUACAAAACUCAAAUCAAUGUUUUGUUCGUUCGGCUCGAGUUAGGG